This 253-nucleotide ribosomal RNA is filed under the name uncultured bacterium. Its description in RNAcentral is "partial 16S ribosomal RNA". It matches the Rfam family "Bacterial small subunit ribosomal RNA", at positions 524 to 776 of the family's 1533-position model. The record is from RNAcentral.
UACAGAGACUGCAAGCGUUAUUCGGAUUCACUGGGCGUAAAGGGUGCGAAGGCGGUUGGGUGUGUCAGAUGUGAAAUCCCGAGGCUUAACCUCGGAACUGCGUCUGAAACUACUCGACUAGAGUACUGGAGAGGGUAACGGAAUUCACGGUGUAGCAGUGAAAUGCGUAGAUAUCGUGAGGAACACCAGAGGCGAAGGCGGUUACCUGGACAGUUACUGACGCUCAGGCACGAAAGCAUGGGGAGCAAAAGGG